UUUCUCGUAGCCUAGUGGUCAGAGCACUGGUGAGUAAAGCCAAAGGUCCCGGGUUCGAUUCCCGACAAGGAUU
RNAcentral lists this transfer RNA (73 nucleotides) under Agrilus planipennis (emerald ash borer). It matches the Rfam family "tRNA". Rfam says of the family: Transfer RNA (tRNA) molecules are approximately 80 nucleotides in length. Their secondary structure includes four short double-helical elements and three loops (D, anti-codon, and T loops). Further hydrogen bonds mediate the characteristic L-shaped molecular structure. tRNAs have two regions of fundamental functional importance: the anti-codon, which is responsible for specific mRNA codon recognition, and the 3' end, to which the tRNAs corresponding amino acid is attached (by aminoacyl-tRNA synthetases). tRNAs cope with the degeneracy of the genetic code in two manners: having more than one tRNA (with a specific anti-codon) for a particular amino acid; and 'wobble' base-pairing, i.e. permitting non-standard base-pairing at the 3rd anti-codon position. Lineage: Eukaryota; Metazoa; Arthropoda; Insecta; Coleoptera; Buprestidae. The record is from Rfam by way of RNAcentral.